Molecule: unclassified non-coding RNA, 195 nt
Filed under: rhizosphere metagenome
Description: partial ribosomal RNA internal transcribed spacer region
Source: RNAcentral
GAAGAUAACGGGGUUUUGAGACUGCAUUAAUAAAUAAUGUGUGCUCGACUCUGUCACUCUUUCAUCCACACACACCUUUGUGCACUUAUGGGGACAUCUGUCUCCCUUUUAUAUCAUAAAUACCUAGUUAUAUGCAUGUUGUAAUGUACUCUAAGGAGUGAUAUAACAACUUUCAACAACGGAUCUCUUGGCUUU